This 798-nucleotide long non-coding RNA is filed under the name Rhinopithecus bieti (black snub-nosed monkey). RNAcentral's name for it is "lncRNA (ENSRBIG00000046150.1)". The record is from RNAcentral. Lineage: Eukaryota; Metazoa; Chordata; Mammalia; Primates; Cercopithecidae.
UACAAGGGUCGCAGACAUUCAGAUCAUGGCAGGACUGUCAUAGAUGUUACUUUGUGAAGACACAAAGAACAAUGUGAUUGGAGAGAUCAGUCUUCAAUUAGCUGUAUUUUCUAGGAGGCUACCUUUACUUAGCCUCGCAACAUGGGCCGUUGCUUUGGCACUAAAUCUGCACAAACACCUGGCUUAAGUGUUAUGACAGACUGACUAUUCAACCAAACCAUACAAAUGACCAUUUCCGUACGAAAGCGUGAACUUCAGUGUUGAACUGAAUCAACCAACCUCCUCAAUCCAAAUGGAGAUGCCUGUGGAAGAGGAUGGGCCAGGGUCAGCUUUCACCUUCAUAUCCUAAAGGCUGUCUCUUCCUCUGCUGCCCUACCCAGAUUCCCAUUGCUUCUUGUGUAAUUGACUCCUUUACAUGAUUCUUCACGUAGACCCACUAUUUCAGCUUCUCUGACCCAAAGAGGAUCUUGGAAGAAUUCUGUUUCUGUCCAUGAAUCCCCAGUUUUUCUUUAUCAACCACCAAAACCAAGAUAUACCAACCCCAAAUGUCAAGGUGACCGAACUCUGCAUUUUGAUUUCUAAAUGGGCAGAUGGAUGUACUGCAAUGAGAACACAAAGAAGCAGGUUUAUAACUCGGUACAUUAUGGCACCAGGUUCAACGCAAAAGGAAGCAGCAAUUCCGCGAGGAUAACAAAGGAAGCUGAGGAAGUCUGUUCUGGAGGCACCAUGACAAAGCACCAGACAGAAAGCAGUCACGUGUGGGGAGAUGAGCAGAGACACCACCUCUCAAGCACCUGA